RNAcentral lists this ribosomal RNA (385 nucleotides) under Chloritis minnigerodei. RNAcentral's name for it is "partial 16S ribosomal RNA". The stretch from base 1 to 193 matches the Rfam family "Archaeal large subunit ribosomal RNA", at positions 1903 to 2146 of the family's 2987-position model. Lineage: Eukaryota; Metazoa; Mollusca; Gastropoda; Stylommatophora; Camaenidae. The record is from RNAcentral.
CAAAAACAUAGCCCCACGCAAUUAGGUGGGGUAAUUUCUGCUCAAUGAGAUAUUAAAUAGCCGCAGUACCCUGACUGUGCAAAGGUAGCGUAAUCAAUUGUCUUCUAAUUAGAGACCUGUAUGAAAGAAUAUAUGGGGAUUUUCUUUACCAUUGAUGAUAAAUUAAAUUUUUAAAGUGAGUGCAAAUACUCAUUCAUAAAUAAAAGACGAGGAGACCCUAGAAAUUUGUAAGUGGUUUUUUGUUGGGGCAACAUAAUAGCAUUUAAUCUAUUUUAUGUAUAUGGAAUUUUUUGGAAAAAUAAAAUUACUCUAGGGGUAACAGCAUAAUAUAAAAAUGUUUGUGACCUCGAUGUUGGAUUAGGAAUUUGUAGUYUAGRAGACUAAC